GCAGGGGUAGCCAAGCGGUCAACGGCGGUGGACUCAAAAUCCACUCUCUUAGUGAGUUCGAGGGUUCAAAUCCCUUCUCCUGCA
RNAcentral lists this transfer RNA (84 nucleotides) under archaeon. RNAcentral's name for it is "tRNA-Leu". It matches the Rfam family "tRNA". Rfam says of the family: Transfer RNA (tRNA) molecules are approximately 80 nucleotides in length. The record is from RNAcentral. RNAcentral also lists the same sequence under 1 other name.